Molecule: long non-coding RNA, 1306 nt
Organism: Fukomys damarensis (Damara mole-rat)
Lineage: Eukaryota; Metazoa; Chordata; Mammalia; Rodentia; Bathyergidae
Exons: 3
Source: RefSeq, a predicted model, not a curated record
GCCCUGGACGGCAGCAACCUCCGCCUGGCCGCGGAGCAGCGUCUGCUAAAAAAAUAUACAGAUGAAAUCUGUGCCAAUCAACCCACGGAAGAUUAUUUUGCUCAGUUUAAUACAAGAAGUCGAUAAUGCUAAUGACAACCUCGGUUUAAGAAUAAAGAAAGUGUGGCCACCUUGAAGAAACCAGGAAAGCCAUGCUGAUCUUGAAGGCUGAGGUUGCCAUUGUGGCCGUCACUGGGCACAUGCAGAGAGGCACCCAGGGAAGCCUGUUCUUUGUGGAGCCCUGCCUGGGCUAGUCCAGCGGUAGUGCUGAAGUGGACUAGGGUGUCUGGACAAUCUCCAGGCCUCAGCCUCCUGCAGGUGACUCCAGGAGCGUCUGCUCAGCCCUCUGUCAAGGGACUGCCCACAUGUGAACAGCCUGGGACCUGUCCUAGGGGAGUUCCGUAUCCUGUGGACUGUGCCAACCACAGGUGGACAAGCCCCUCCUCUGUCCCUUGAGCGAGGCAGAAUCCUGCUGUGACAUUUAUCAAGAUGUUGCUAAAGGUCCAGGGAAGCAAAGGACCCACAUCUAGGGGAAAUCAGAGGCCCAGAGCCUCUUCCUGGGUCUACCUCUGCCCACUGCACUCCACCUGGCUGGACACAAGUGAAGGAGACCCCACUUGCUACCAGGCUGGAGCAAGCACCCUUGGCCCCACUCUGUGGAGCCCAGGGCCCUGGAACGUUGCCCUUGUUUCCUGAGUGAUUAAACUGUUUCUGCUGGGGAAGGGGCAAGAGAGUGGCAUAGUCAUUUCCUGGGGCCACUGCAAAUAUCAAAAAGCUGCACACUGGCUUUGACAGUAGACAUUCACAGCACAUCACAGCUCUGGAGACCCGAAGUCUGGGGCCGGAAGUCUGGGCUCAGGAGUCAGCAGGCUGGUUCCUCCAGUCUAGGAAUGGGGUGGCUGUGACUGGGGUUUUUCUGGUGACCCUUGUGUGAGAUCUGACUGACCCCCAGAGACUGUUGCGCACCCCUCCCCUUACCGAGGACACAACAUUCCAUUUUGGCCUUGACUCGUCGGGAUGGAAAGCUUGGGUCAGCUCCCUCAAGGACCAAUUAUUGUUCUAUUGCUCAUCCUCAUAUUUGGUCCCUGCACGGAAAGAUGGAGAUCAAAACUCAUACAUAGAGAGCAGCUGCUGCCCAACAUUAUCAGAUGCUAAUUAUGUGGAAUAAUGAAAAUUGGUAUGGACAGAACAAGGGGUAAGGAGUUAGCCCCAAACAAAGGGAGGAAUGAUAGGGAAAACUUUUAUGAAUGGCAAAAACCUAUAAAGU